ACCACAGGCUGAUAAAAAGUCUUCUCAGUCCUUGCUGGGAGGUGAAGAUGAAGGAGUGGGUUUCAUUCACGCUCAUUUCUUACUGAAGUCUGCAGCCAUGCCCCGAAAAUGUUGGAUUGAAGAAACUUUUUCCAAGAGAGAAUGUGUGAAGUUUAUUCCAUCCUCUUGGAAUUUGCACAGGUAAACUGAGCGAGCGUUCAACUGUUUAAAGGUGCUUGACCAAAAGGAAACGGCAGAAUCGAAGUGUAUUCUGUUAUUAAAUCGCUGUUUUGUUA
RNAcentral lists this long non-coding RNA (275 nucleotides) under Gouania willdenowi (blunt-snouted clingfish). RNAcentral describes it as "lncRNA (ENSGWIG00000005756.1)". Lineage: Eukaryota; Metazoa; Chordata; Actinopteri; Blenniiformes; Gobiesocidae. The record is from RNAcentral.